RNAcentral lists this ribosomal RNA (253 nucleotides) under uncultured bacterium. RNAcentral's name for it is "partial 16S ribosomal RNA". It matches the Rfam family "Bacterial small subunit ribosomal RNA", at positions 524 to 776 of the family's 1533-position model. The record is from RNAcentral.
UACGGAGGGUGCAAGCGUUAUCCGGAUUCACUGGGUUUAAAGGGUGCGUAGGCGGACAGGUAAGUCAGUGGUGAAAUCUCCGAGCUUAACUCGGGAACUGCCGUUGAUACUAGUUGUCUUGAAUACUGUGGAGGUAAGCGGAAUAUGUCAUGUAGCGGUGAAAUGCUUAGAUAUGGGAUAGAACACCGAUUGCGAAGGCAGCUUACUGGACAGCGAUUGACGCUGAGGCACGAAAGCGUGGGGAGCAAACAGG